RNAcentral lists this ribosomal RNA (425 nucleotides) under uncultured prokaryote. RNAcentral describes it as "bacterial SSU rRNA". It matches the Rfam family "Bacterial small subunit ribosomal RNA", at positions 39 to 444 of the family's 1533-position model. The record is from RNAcentral.
GCGGCGCUGCCUAAUACAUGCAAGUCGAGCGGGGUUACUGCGUCAGAUUCCUUCGGGAAGAAGAUGCUUUAACCUAGCGGCGGACGGGUGAGUAACGCGUGGGCAACCUACCCUAAAGCCUGGGAUAACACCGGGAAACCGGUGCUAAGACCGGAUACCUUUCGGGGGAGGCAUCUUCUCCGAAAGAAAGGUUACGCUUUAGGAUGGGCCCGCGUCCCAUUAGCUAGUUGGUGAGGUAACGGCUCACCAAGGCUGCGAUGGGGUAGCCGGCCUGAGAGGGUGGACGGCCACACUGGGACUGAGACACGGCCCAGACUCCUACGGGAGGCAGCAGUAGGGACAUAUUGCGCAAUGGGCGAAAGCCUGACGCAGCGACGCCGCGUGAGUGACGAAGGCCUUCGGGUUGUAAAACUCUGUCCUUGGGG